RNAcentral lists this ribosomal RNA (92 nucleotides) under Erinaceus europaeus (western European hedgehog). The record is from RNAcentral. Lineage: Eukaryota; Metazoa; Chordata; Mammalia; Eulipotyphla; Erinaceidae.
AUCUACAGCCAUAUCACCCUCAACAUGCCGGAUCUCCUCUGACCUUGAAAGCUAAGCAGGGUCAAGCCUGGUUAGUACUUGGAAGGGAGAUA